Molecule: non-coding RNA, 191 nt
Filed under: human gut metagenome
Source: RNAcentral
UGUCGUGAGGCGGAAUCUGAAGAAAGCCGGAUUUUAGGGGUUGAAAGGUCCCUUAAUGGGCAAAACUCUGGCCUGACAAACAGGUUUCGCUCAUAAGGCCGAACACAAGGGUAAGUUUGCAUAACAAAACAAAGCCCAGUAGCUACACGGAUUGCGUUCGGUAGAUGCGGCAGGUAAAGAGGGAAAGAACG